UACAGAGGUCCCAAGCGUUGUUCGGAUUCACUGGGCGUAAAGGGUGCGUAGGUGGUGAGGUAAGUCGGAUGUGAAAGCUCCGAGCUCAACUCGGAAAUGGCAUUGGAAACUACCUUGCUAGAGGGUUUGAGGGGGGACUGGAAUACUUGGUGUAGCAGUGAAAUGCGUAGAUAUCAAGUGGAACACCAGUGGCGAAGGCGAGUCCCUGGAAAGCUCCUGACACUGAGGCACGAAAGCUAGGGGAGCAAACAGG
RNAcentral lists this ribosomal RNA (253 nucleotides) under uncultured bacterium. RNAcentral's name for it is "partial 16S ribosomal RNA". It matches the Rfam family "Bacterial small subunit ribosomal RNA", at positions 524 to 776 of the family's 1533-position model. The record is from RNAcentral.